ACUCCGUCGAAGCUGGAUUCGCUGUAAUCGCGCAUCAGCCAUGGCGCGGUGAAUACGUUCCCGGGUCUUGUACACACCGCCCGUCACGCCAUGGGAGUCGGAAAUGCCCGAAGUCAGUGACCCAACCAUACGGAGGGAGCUGCCGAAGGCAGGUCCGGUAACUGGGGUGAAGUCGUAACAAGGUAUC
This 187-nucleotide ribosomal RNA is filed under the name uncultured bacterium. RNAcentral describes it as "partial 16S ribosomal RNA". It matches the Rfam family "Bacterial small subunit ribosomal RNA", at positions 1315 to 1500 of the family's 1533-position model. The record is from RNAcentral.